UUCUUCUGAGACUAAAUUAUCAACUCUAACUCCUCCUAGAGCUUUAACUCUACAGACUCCAAACUCAGCCCAUAUCUUCAGACUGAUCUGAAGUUAGUUGCUAUAUCUUUUCUAACUGAUUGGACUUACGGUUUUCAUAAAAAUGAAUGUUAAAAAUCAUAAAAAUCCCAUAGACUUACAUUGAAAAGUCUGCUCACCAGAACAUUCCGUCAAAUUCCAACUGUCAAAAUUCAAAUCUAAACACACUGAAGCCCAUUAGACUCAAUCAGACUUGCCUUCUAAGUACUAUUUCUAACCCAUUCAAACUGAUUCAAACUCAUCUAUCUAUUAAUCUAUCUAUUUAUCUAUCUAUAUAUCAUCUGACUAUUUCUUUCUUUCUUCCUUUCUUUCUUUCUUUCUUUAAUCUGACUAUUUCUGUCUAUCUAUCUAUCAUCUGACUAUUUUUUUCUUUCUUUCUUUCUUUCUUUCUUUCUUUCUUUCUUUCUAUCAUCUGACUAUUUCUAUCUAUCUAUCAUCUGACUAUUUUUUUCUUUCUUUCUUUCUUUCUUUCUUUCUUUCUUUCUUUCUAUCAUCUGACUAUUUCUAUCUAUCUAUCAUCUGACUAUUUCUUUCUUUCUUCUUUUCUGUCUUUCUUUCUUUCUUUCUAUAAUCUGACUAUUUCUGUCUAUCUAUCUAUCUAUCUAUCUAUCUAUCAUCUGACUAUUUCUAUCUAUCUAUCAUCUGAAUAUUUCUUUCUUUCUUUCUUUCUUUCUUUCUUUCUUUCUUUCUUUCUUUCUUUCUAUCUAUCUAUCUAUCUAUCUAUCUAUCAUCAGACUAUUUCUAUCUAUCUAUCUAUCUAUUCUAGCGAUAUCUUAAUCAUGCUAGAAAUCUAUCUAUCCUAGCGACAUGCUAAUCAUGCUAAAAACAUACAAACAACAUGAUAGUAACUUCUUAUUCAUGCUAGCAACAUGCUAGUAGCAUGCUAAUCAUGCUAGAAACAUGCUAGCAACAUGCUACUAACUU
This 1002-nucleotide long non-coding RNA is filed under the name Sinocyclocheilus anshuiensis. RNAcentral's name for it is "lncRNA (ENSSANG00000000953.1)". Lineage: Eukaryota; Metazoa; Chordata; Actinopteri; Cypriniformes; Cyprinidae. The record is from RNAcentral.